RNAcentral lists this ribosomal RNA (228 nucleotides) under uncultured bacterium. RNAcentral describes it as "partial 16S ribosomal RNA". It matches the Rfam family "Bacterial small subunit ribosomal RNA", at positions 568 to 795 of the family's 1533-position model. The record is from RNAcentral.
UGCGUAGGCGGAUUAAUAAGUCAGUGGUGAAAUCUUUCGGCUCAACCGAGAAACUGCCAUUGAUACUGUUAAUCUUGAGUUCGGUUGAGGUAGGCGGAAUGUGUAAUGUAGCGGUGAAAUGCUUAGAUAUUACACAGAACACCAAUUGCGUAGGCAGCUUACUAGACCGACACUGACGCUGAGGCACGAAAGCGUGGGGAGCGAACAGGAUUAGAUACCCUGGUAGUC